Molecule: non-coding RNA, 69 nt
Organism: Larimichthys crocea (large yellow croaker)
Lineage: Eukaryota; Metazoa; Chordata; Actinopteri; Sciaenidae
Source: Rfam
CUUGUUAUAAUGAUGACUUGUCCAAAAACUUCUUGUAGGGAAGCUGGAUAAUGUCUGACAGCCGACAAG